CCUACGGGAGGCAGCAGUGAGGAAUAUUGGUCAAUGGGCGCGAGCCUGACCCAGCCAAGUAGCGUGAAGGAUGACUGCCCUACGGGUUGUAAACUUCUUUUAUAAAGGAAUAAAGUGAGGCACGUGAGCCUUUUUGUAUUUACUUUAUGAAUAAGGAUCGGCUAACUCCGUGCCAGCCGCCGCGGUAAUACGGAGGAUCCGAGCGUUAUCCGGAUUUAUUGGGUUUAAAGUGAGCGUAGAUGGGUUGUUAAGUCAGUUGUGAAAGUUUGCGGCUCAACCGUAAAAGUGCAAUUGAUACUGGCAGUCUUGAGUACAGUUGAGGUAGGCGGAAUUCGUGGUGUAGCGGUGAAAUGCGUAGAUAUCACGAAGAACUCCGAUUGCGAAGGCAGCUUACUAAACUGCCACUGACAUUGAUGCUCGAAAGUGUGGGUAGCAAACAGGAUUAGAUACCCUUGUAGUC
This 460-nucleotide ribosomal RNA is filed under the name uncultured bacterium. Its description in RNAcentral is "partial 16S ribosomal RNA". It matches the Rfam family "Bacterial small subunit ribosomal RNA", at positions 338 to 795 of the family's 1533-position model. The record is from RNAcentral.